This is a regulatory RNA element of 101 nucleotides. It matches the Rfam family "TPP riboswitch aptamer (THI element)". From Rfam's summary of the family: Vitamin B(1) in its active form thiamin pyrophosphate (TPP) is an essential coenzyme that is synthesised by coupling of pyrimidine and thiazole moieties in bacteria. The record is from Rfam.
UAUAUGCACUAGGGGUGUUAUUUAACUGAGAUGAGUAUAAACUCAAACCCUUUGAACCUGAUCUAGCUGAAACUAGCGUAGGAAAGUGUAAACUCUAAUAC